GUUUUAUUGUUUAUAUAAUAAAUAUGGCCUGCCCAAUGAAAAGUUUAAUGGCUGCAGUAUUUUGACUGUACAAAGGUAGCAUAAUCAUUUGUCUCUUAAUUGGAGUCUGGAAUGAAUGGUUGGAUGAAAAAUUUACUUUCUUUAUUUUAUAUAUAGAAUUUAAUAUUUAUAUCAAAAAGUAUAAAUUUUAUUAAAGGACGAGAAGACCCUUUAGAACUUUACUUAUAUAUAAUUAAUUAUUUUUUUGAUAAUAAUUAUUAUUUAUUUUUAUAUAAGUUUUGUUGGGGUGACAAAAAAAAUUGAAUAACUUUUUUUAUUUAUUUCACUUAUAUGUGAUUUUUUGAUCCUUUAUUAAAGAUGGAAGACUAAGUUACCUUAGGGAUAACAGCGUUAUUAUUUUAGAGAGUUCAUAUUGAUAAAAUAGUUUGCGACCUCGAUGUUGGAUUAAAAUAAAUUCUAGGAGUAGAAGAUUAGAUAUUAGGUCUGUUCGACCUUUAAAUUUUUACGUGAUCUGAGUUCA
This 520-nucleotide ribosomal RNA is filed under the name Miridae sp. BOLD:ACO2296. RNAcentral's name for it is "partial 16S ribosomal RNA". The stretch from base 381 to 520 matches the Rfam family "Bacterial large subunit ribosomal RNA", at positions 2473 to 2613 of the family's 2925-position model. Lineage: Eukaryota; Metazoa; Arthropoda; Insecta; Hemiptera; Miridae. The record is from RNAcentral.